Molecule: ribosomal RNA, 253 nt
Filed under: uncultured bacterium
Lineage: Bacteria
Description: partial 16S ribosomal RNA
Rfam family: Bacterial small subunit ribosomal RNA
Source: RNAcentral
UACAGAGGGUGCAAGCGUUGUUCGGAAUCAUUGGGCGUAAAGGGCGUGUAGGCGGUCUGUUAAGUCAUGUGUGAAAUCCCUCGGCUCAACCGGGGAACGACGCAUGAAACUGACAAGCUAGAGUACCAAAGAGGGGGGUGGAAUUCCCGGUGUAGAGGUGAAAUUCGUAGAUAUUGGGAAGAACACCGAUGGCGAAGGCAGCCAUCUGGACCGACACUGACGCUGAGGCGCGAAAGCGUGGGGAGCAAACAGG